Molecule: long non-coding RNA, 582 nt
Organism: Benincasa hispida (wax gourd)
Lineage: Eukaryota; Viridiplantae; Streptophyta; Magnoliopsida; Cucurbitales; Cucurbitaceae
Source: RefSeq, a predicted model, not a curated record
AUCUCUUCCUCAUUCUUUCUACCAAUUUAACAGAAAUUUAAGAAGAACAAAACUCUCUUACAUAACUCUUCUUUCUUCCUUCUGUCUUCAAUGUGCUCAAAUGGAGAUUGAUAAGUGAGGUAAAGAAGAAUCAGACAUCCAAAGUAGAAAACAUGGAGAAGAGAAGAAGAGGUACACAACAAUUAUAGUGGUUCGGUUAUAGAAGGCCUAUAUCCACUUCCAAGAUACGUUACGGAGAAGACGUGGAGGGAAUCGUGAAGAAUUUGGGAAUCUACAAAAGUAAGGUGUAAGAAGGUCUUCUUCCAUGGUGCAGCAGUGAUCUUCUUCUCCAAGUUUCCUUAAUCAAAACUUAUUUUGAGUCCCACAACUCAAUCUAAGGCACCAAAAAGAUAGUAGGGAAGGCCUUGAGGUGGAUCACAAGCAGAUUUGGAGGAGAUUUGCAGCUGGAGUCGAGAUUCAAGUGGUUCUUCAAAGAAUGAUGAGUUCAUUAUACAAUUGUUGGCGUCUGAUAAACUUAUUGGGGAUAAUUAUGCCACCUGGAAAGCAAACCUGAAUACUAUAUUGGUGAUAGAUGAUCUACGA